AGUGGCGGACGGGUGAGUAACGCGUGGGUAACCUGCCUUAUACAGGGGGAUAACAGUCAGAAAUGGCUGCUAAUACCGCAUAAGCGCACAGAGCUGCAUGGCUCAGUGUGAAAAACUCCGGUGGUAUAAGAUGGACCCGCGUUGGAUUAGCUUGUUGGUGGGGUAACGGCCCACCAAGGCGACGAUCCAUAGCCGGCCUGAGAGGGUGAACGGCCACAUUGGGACUGAGACACGGCCCAGACUCCUACGGGAGGCAGCAGUGGGGAAUAUUGCACAAUGGGGGAAACCCUGAUGCAGCGACGCCGCGUGGAGGAAGAAGGUCUUCGGAUUGUAAACUCCUGUUGUUGGGGAAGAUAAUGACGGUACCCAACAAGGAAGUGACGGCUAACUACGUGCCAGCGGCCGCGGUAAAACGUAGGUCACAAGCGUUGUCCGGAAUUACUGGGUGUAAAGGGAGCGCAGGCGGGAAGACAAGUUGGAAGUGAAAUCUAUGGGCUCAACCCAUAAACUGCUUUCAAAACUGUUUUUCUUGAGUAGUGCAGAGGUAGGCGGAAUUCCCGGUGUAGCGGUGGAAUGCGUAGAUAUCGGGAGGAACACCAGUGGCGAAGGCGGCCUACUGGGCACCAACUGACGCUGAGGCUCGAAAGUGUGGGUAGCAAACAGGAUUAGAUACCCUGGUAGUCCACACCGUAAACGAUGAUUACUAGGUGUUGGAGGAUUGACCCCUUCAGUGCCGCAGUUAACACAAUAAGUAAUCCACCUGGGGAGUACGACCGCAAGGUUGAAACUCAAAGGAAUUGACGGGGGCCCGCACAAGCAGUGGAGUAUGUGGUUUAAUUCGACGCAACGCGAAGAACCUUACCAAGUCUUGACAUCCCUUGACGAUGCUGGAAACAGUAUUUCUCUUCGGAGCAAGGAGACAGGUGGUGCAUGGUUGUCGUCAGCUCGUGUCGUGAGAUGUUGGGUUAAGUCCCGCAACGAGCGCAACCCUUAUGGUCAGUUACUACGCAAGAGGACUCUGGCCAGACUGCCGUUGACAAAACGGAGGAAGGUGGGGAUGACGUCAAAUCAUCAUGCCCUUUAUGACUUGGGCUACACACGUACUACAAUGGCGUUAAACAAAGAGAAGCAAGACCGCGAGGUGGAGCAAAACUCAGAAACAACGUCCCAGUUCGGACUGCAGGCUGCAACUCGCCUGCACGAAGUCGGAAUUGCUAGUAAUCGUGGAUCAGCAUGCCACGGUGAAUACGUUCCCGGGCCUUGCACUCACCGCCCGUCA
Molecule: ribosomal RNA, 1279 nt
Filed under: uncultured bacterium
Lineage: Bacteria
Description: bacterial SSU rRNA
Rfam family: Bacterial small subunit ribosomal RNA
Source: RNAcentral